RNAcentral lists this ribosomal RNA (253 nucleotides) under uncultured bacterium. Its description in RNAcentral is "partial 16S ribosomal RNA". It matches the Rfam family "Bacterial small subunit ribosomal RNA", at positions 524 to 776 of the family's 1533-position model. The record is from RNAcentral.
UACAGAGGUCUCAAGCGUUGUUCGGAUUCAUUGGGCGUAAAGGGUGUGUAGGUGGCGCCGUAAGUCGGGUGUGAAAUUUCGGAGCUUAACUCCGAAACUGCAUUCGAUACUGCGGUGCUUGAGGACUGGAGAGGAGACUGGAAUUCAUGGUGUAGCAGUGAAAUGCGUAGAGAUCAUGAGGAAGACCAGUGGCGAAGGCGACUCUUUGGCCUGUAACUGACACUGAGGCGCGAAAGCGUGGGGAGCAAACAGG